GUUGGCAGCCGUGGUGCAGGAAGAGACGCGCACCCCCCCCUCCCUCUUCACUUCGCGCACACUUCCGUUGUCGCCAUCUUUCGUUUCAGGCAAGCGUGUGUGUCGUCUCGCGUCCUGCUCCAUCGCGUAGUUUUACGAACUACUGACUUGGUUCUUGUACGAGCCGCAAAAUGCCGGGUUUUAGCAGCGUUGGCACAUUUAAAAUCUUCAUUGGUAAUUUAGCCGAUAAGACCUCGAACGCGGACAUAAAACCACUGUUCGAGAAAUAUGGAAAGGUCGUGGAAUGCGACGUGGUAAAGAAUUAUGGCUUUGUGCAUAUGGAGAAUGAGGAGGCAGGCCGAAACGCGAUACAGAAUCUAAAUGGACACAUGGUUCAUGGACAGCCGAUAAAAUGCGAGGCCGCGAAGAGUCGUAAGGGACCUAACACCCCUACGACGAAGAUAUUUGUGGGCAAUCUUACAGAUAACACCAAGGCGCCGCAGGUGCGCGAAUUGUUCGCCAAGUACGGCACCGUCGUCGAAUGCGACAUCGUACGAAACUACGGUUUCGUUCAUCUGGAGGCGACUGGCGACGUGAACGACGCCAUCAAGGAGCUGAACGGACAGAUCGUGGAUGGGCAGCCGAUGAAGGUCCAGAUAUCUACUAGUCGUGUGCGACAGAGGCCAGGGAUGGGAGAUCCGGAACAAUGCUAUCGAUGCGGACGAGGCGGUCACUGGUCGAAGGAGUGUCCCAAAGGAGGAAUGGGAGGUGGCCCAGACAGAAACGGAUACAGGGACCGAAUGUUCGGACGCGAUCCAUAUCCUCCUCCGCCGCCACCACCUUUCCUCCGGGACCGGCUCAUGGGUGGUGGCCGCUUUGGGGAUUACGAUAGCUACUACGACAGGCGCGGUUUCGAGGACACCAGGGACCUUUACGAAAGGCGGUUUACGGGUAUGGGAUCCAUGCGUGACACUGGCUUCUCCCGUGGUAACGAGUAUGGCAUGUUCAGUCGCCGAUCACCCCCUCCAAGUGGCAACAACGGCCGGUUCAGUGCACCUCAGGCGUACCAUCUUUGUCCAUGAACGCGGGCAACCCUAGAGAGACAGUCCCGGGUCAGCGUUCAAGUCGUACAAGACGCUCCCUAUUACGUACAUCACUCAGCCGGGAGUGGCGCGGAGGCCUGGGAUGAAGAAACGUACCUAAGGAAUGCGAAUUAGAAUUUCUUGAUCGCACUACCGGUCCGCGAGCCAGGACGUUCUGCAAUUUUAAAUGAGACUCGUACGCUGUAGAUAGAGAAAAGAAAGAAAAGAAAAACAGGGCUGGCGCGAUUUUGGAAUGACGCAUCGAAUCUAUUAUCUUUGAAACGUGUCGUAAGUAGAAACCAGCUCUCCAGAUGAUUUGGAUCAUUAAGUUGAUAUCAGCAUCUCUUUAAUCUUUUCAAGUCAAGACUUACGAACUAUAACGUCAAUUCGAUUGGAUCUAAUUUGAUUCAAUUUUUCCGAUGCGUAAACAUUAUUUCUUUUCUUUAACUAAAAUCGUGUACUGUCUCUGAUCAAUAUAUUGACGUAACAAAUUUACAAAAAUAUUAGUGCAUUAUAAAUAUUUUCAAAUGAAGCAAAUAUUCAAGUAUAUAUUUUUUCUCUCUUUUUUUUUUGUUUAGUAUCGCUAAAAUGUAUACUUUUUUCUUGUGCGAUACAUAUCUUGUAAUAUAAGAUUCAAUUUCUUGUUUUAAACUAAGCAAUAGUCACUGUUUUUCCUUAUUAUUAUUUUACUAUUUUGCUCAUUGAAUUAAAUUCCUAAUUUAAAUAGAUAACUUUUUAAUUAAAUUUGUAUUAUUAGCACAGAUAUUAAUUUAGAGUUAAAAGUUUCGUAGCACAAAUACAAAAAAUUAUUUCACUAAUAAAUUAUAAAUUACGAAUUUUUAUAUUGAAUCGAAUCGGAAUUUCGUGAAAUGGAUAGUGAAAAUGUCGCGGAGAUUUCGCGAUUUCGUCUUUGAGCUUUUUCGAAAUUACAAUCCAUAACUCUUGAUAGUUGACUUCUACUCACGAGGUUCAAAGCUUUUAAUGUAUGUAAAUCCAUUCGCAAAACGUUCAAAUAGAAAACAGAAUUGAUUGAAUA
RNAcentral lists this unclassified non-coding RNA (2097 nucleotides) under Monomorium pharaonis (pharaoh ant). RNAcentral describes it as "rNA-binding protein lark, transcript variant X12". The record is from RNAcentral. Lineage: Eukaryota; Metazoa; Arthropoda; Insecta; Hymenoptera; Formicidae.